CAGCCGCCGCGGGAAUACGAAGGGGGCUAGCGUUGUUCGGAUUUACUGGGCGUAAAGGGCGCGUAGGCGGACUGAUAAGUCAGGGGUGAAAUCCCAAGGCUCAACCUUGGAACUGCCUUUGAUACUGUUUGUCUUGAGUUCGAGAGAGGUAAGUGGAACUGCGAGUGUAGAGGUGAAAUUCGUAGAUAUUCGCAAGAACACCAGUGGCGAAGGCGGCUUACUGGCUCGAAACUGACGCUGAGGCGCGAAAGCGUGGGGAGCAAACAGGAUUAGAGACCCCGGUAGUCCCUGUCUCUUAUAC
This 301-nucleotide ribosomal RNA is filed under the name uncultured bacterium. Its description in RNAcentral is "partial 16S ribosomal RNA". It matches the Rfam family "Bacterial small subunit ribosomal RNA", at positions 509 to 807 of the family's 1533-position model. The record is from RNAcentral.